CUUGGGACCGAGGCGAGCUUUCCUCUCCAUCUCUGGGUCAAGACGAAGCUUUCUGCCGAUGCGAUUGACGGCAUUACCAGACAGUAUUAGACACAGAUAGCUAGAUCUAACUUUGCCUGGUAAGACAGCAAUCAGCAGGCACUCACUCGGGCUAAAGGAAAACACCAUUAAAUCCAGGACUAGAAAGAUAGGGCAGGGAAAGGCUGAGGGCCUUUCCCUUAGACAAAGCGAUAACCAGUAAAUGUUUAACUUGCUUGCUUAUGAAGCAGUACCAUUAUAAAACACAACCAGUUCCAGUUCACUGCUAUAGGAGUUGAAAAGAAUUGUAGAGAACUUACCGACAGCUCUGGCCACUGCAUCCAUCUGGCUGUGAAAUUGCUCACCAUGCCCGUGCCUGGAGCAGCUCCAGCAGCAGCAGCACAGCAGGACUGUGGAUGCACAUGGGUGUCAGCUGAACAACCUGCCCUCACCCAUGGUCAAACUCCCCUCAGUGAGACAACUGCUUUAGAAUGAAUCUGAUGCAGCCCAGGCCUCAGGCAGCAAUGAAACCAUCCCAAGAAUCCUGCCUGUGGAAUUGCUCUCUUGUGAAACCAAUUGAAGGGAGAUGAAAAUCAGCAGGAGAAGGGGAGGGAAAGAUAUGGAGGCAGAAGGGGGUUUUCUGGGUUGCCCCUGGCUCUCAUGACUGUCUCUGUCCGAGGCAGGAUUGAAGGGACACUUUCCUAAGCAUACAUCACCACGGGGGCGGGCAGAGGGAUUUCCCUGGUCUCUGUGUCUUUGGUUUUAAGGCCACAUUCCUGUCCCUGCCCUGGAUGCCCCAUUAGAGCUGUUUGUUGGUUAUACAUUUAUUUACUCAGCUCCAUCCAAGGUUAGGACCCACACUUUGUGCUAAGCAGAGCCGGGAGGUAGGUGUGCGCUCCAAUCCAUCUUACUGCGAUGCUUGUUAAAAGCCAAUUUGCAGAGUCACUCAAAUUUCACACCAUUUCCUCAAUCCCCUGUGAGCCAGUUACUCAUUAACACAGAGGCUAAUCACCAGAGAGCCUCCUCUGCUGCUUCCUUCUCUCGCCCUGGGAAUCACAACCUGCAAGGGCAAGCACAACACCGAGCUUGUAGCAGUGAGUCAGCCCAUGGAGUUAAAGCAAGCACAGUCAGCGCCUUUCAAGCUGUCCACAUUGUAGUGGCAGCAGGGUGAAGUUAUACACAAAUCAGUUUGUUUUUCCCACUCUUCCUGGAUUACCUGGUAGUUUUGGGAAGGAAACACCCAGCUUGCUGCAAGGAAUUGGAAAAACAGGGAGAGAGUUCCAGUGGCAAAGGCAGAGAACGCAGAAUUUGCUUGGGUACCACUGUGUUUCUAUCCCAGUUCUGUUUUGGAGCAAGGAAGGGGAUUAACACUCCAUUGAGGAUGAGGAAGACACAAAUCAAUACUUGGAAUAUAUUUAAAGAGGAAUUUGUGGUCAGAGUGCGUGUGUAACAUUGCCUUGUAUCUCUCAGAGGAAGGAGCUGAAAACCAAUGGGGACAAGACUGAGGCAUCAGUACAAGGGCUGUGCCCCAUCCCAAGAGUCUUUCAGAAGUGCAGGUUGUCUGCAAAGUAAAGAAGUACUGACCUGGAUUAAUCUGUCAAGGACUAGGGAGGACCUGCAGGAAGAAGAGGAAGUUUGCUGGAGCACCUCAUGCAAUAGAAGGUAGAAAUCAUAGCGCAGGCUGCCCACCCUGGAGCGGUUCCCUUGGU
Long non-coding RNA from Pezoporus occidentalis (night parrot), 1727 nucleotides. RefSeq lists it as uncharacterized. The transcript is spliced from 3 exons. NCBI's taxonomy places the organism in Eukaryota, Metazoa, Chordata, Aves, Psittaciformes, Psittacidae. The record is from RefSeq and is a predicted model, not a curated record.